Molecule: ribosomal RNA, 745 nt
Filed under: Enterococcus sp. M351
Lineage: Bacteria; Bacillati; Bacillota; Bacilli; Lactobacillales; Enterococcaceae
Description: bacterial SSU rRNA
Rfam family: Bacterial small subunit ribosomal RNA
Source: RNAcentral
GCUAUACAUGCAGUCGACGCUUCUUUUUCCACCGGAGCUUGCUCCACCGGAAAAAGAGGAGUGGCGAACGGGUGAGUAACACGUGGGUAACCUGCCCAUCAGAAGGGGAUAACACUUGGAAACAGGUGCUAAUACCGUAUAACAAUCGAAACCGCAUGGUUUUGAUUUGAAAGGCGCUUUCGGGUGUCGCUGAUGGAUGGACCCGCGGUGCAUUAGCUAGUUGGUGAGGUAACGGCUCACCAAGGCGACGAUGCAUAGCCGACCUGAGAGGGUGAUCGGCCACAUUGGGACUGAGACACGGCCCAAACUCCUACGGGAGGCAGCAGUAGGGAAUCUUCGGCAAUGGACGAAAGUCUGACCGAGCAACGCCGCGUGAGUGAAGAAGGUUUUCGGAUCGUAAAACUCUGUUGUUAGAGAAGAACAAGGAUGAGAGUAACUGUUCAUCCCUUGACGGUAUCUAACCAGAAAGCCACGGCUAACUACGUGCCAGCAGCCGCGGUAAUACGUAGGUGGCAAGCGUUGUCCGGAUUUAUUGGGCGUAAAGCGAGCGCAGGCGGUUUCUUAAGUCUGAUGUGAAAGCCCCCGGCUCAACCGGGGAGGGUCAUUGGAAACUGGGAGACUUGAGUGCAGAAGAGGAGAGUGGAAUUCCAUGUGUAGCGGUGAAAUGCGUAGAUAUAUGGAGGAACACCAGUGGCGAAGGCGGCUCUCUGGUCUGUAACUGACGCUGAGGCUCGAAAGCGUGGGG